UGGGGAAUUUUGGACAAUGGGCGAAAGCCUGAUCCAGCAAUGCCGCGUGUGUGAAGAAGGCCUUCGGGUUGUAAAGCACUUUUGUCCGGAAAGAAAUCCUUGGCUCUAAUACAGUCGGGGGAUGACGGUACCGGAAGAAUAAGCACCGGCUAACUACGUGCCAGCAGCCGCGGUAAUACGUAGGGUGCAAGCGUUAAUCGGAAUUACUGGGCGUAAAGCGUGCGCAGGCGGUUUGCUAAGACCGAUGUGAAAUCCCCGGGCUCAACCUGGGAACUGCAUUGGUGACUGGCAGGCUAGAGUAUGGCAGAGGGGGGUAGAAUUCCACGUGUAGCAGUGAAAUGCGUAGAGAUGUGGAGGAAUACCGAUGGCGAAGGCAGCCCCCUGGGCCAAUACUGACGCUCAUGCGCGAAAGCGUGGGGAGCAAACAGGAUUAGAUACCCUGGUAGUCCACGCCCUAAACGAUGUCAACUAGUUGUUGGGGAUUCAUUUCCUUAGUAACGUAGCUAACGCGUGAAGUUGACCGCCUGGGGAGUACGGUCGCAAGAUUAAAACUCAAA
This 557-nucleotide ribosomal RNA is filed under the name uncultured bacterium. Its description in RNAcentral is "partial 16S ribosomal RNA". It matches the Rfam family "Bacterial small subunit ribosomal RNA", at positions 355 to 905 of the family's 1533-position model. The record is from RNAcentral.